ACUUUAACAUGGAAGCACUUGC
This 22-nucleotide microRNA is filed under the name Dasypus novemcinctus (nine-banded armadillo). RNAcentral's name for it is "Dno-Mir-430-P4_5p* (star (passenger))". The record is from RNAcentral. Lineage: Eukaryota; Metazoa; Chordata; Mammalia; Cingulata; Dasypodidae.